ACCAGUGUGGUGUAGUGGUUUGAGUGUUGGACUAGGACUCUGGAGUCCAGGGUUCAAAUCCCAGCUCAGCCA
RNAcentral lists this transfer RNA (72 nucleotides) under Phrynosoma platyrhinos (Desert horned lizard). RNAcentral describes it as "tRNA-OTHER". Lineage: Eukaryota; Metazoa; Chordata; Lepidosauria; Squamata; Phrynosomatidae. The record is from RNAcentral.